RNAcentral lists this ribosomal RNA (446 nucleotides) under uncultured bacterium. Its description in RNAcentral is "SSU rRNA". It matches the Rfam family "Bacterial small subunit ribosomal RNA", at positions 26 to 518 of the family's 1533-position model. The record is from RNAcentral.
AGAACGAACGCUGGCGGCAGGCCUAACACAUGCAAGUCGAACGCCGUAGCAAUACGGAGUGGCAGACGGGUGAGUAACACGUGGGAACGUGCCCAAAGGUACGGAACAACUCCGGGAAACUGGAGCUAAUACCGUAUGUGCCCGAAAGGGGAAAGAUUUAUCGCCUUUGGAUCGGCCCGCGUCUGAUUAGCUAGUUGGUAGGGUAAUGGCCUACCAAGGCUACGAUCAGUAGCUGGUCUGAGAGGAUGAUCAGCCACAUUGGGACUGAGACACGGCCCAAACUCCUACGGGAGGCAGCAGUGGGGAAUAUUGGACAAUGGGCGAAAGCCUGAUCCAGCCAUGCCGCGUGAGUGAUGAAGGCCUUAGGGUUGUAAAGCUCGUUUCGGCGGGGACGAUAAUGACGGUACCGCAGAAGAAGCCCCGGCUAACUUCGUGCCAGCAGCCGC